Molecule: ribosomal RNA, 250 nt
Filed under: uncultured bacterium
Lineage: Bacteria
Description: partial 16S ribosomal RNA
Rfam family: Bacterial small subunit ribosomal RNA
Source: RNAcentral
UACGAAGGGUGCAAGCGUUACUCGGAAUUACUGGGCGUAAAGCGUGCGUAGGUGGUUUCUUAAGUCUGCUGUGAAAUCUCCGAGCUCAACUCGGAAAUGGCAUUGGAAACUACUUGGCUAGAGGAGUGGAGGGGGGACUGGAAUUCUCGGUGUAGCAGUGAAAUGCGUAGAGAUCGAGAGGAACACCAGUGGCGAAGGCGAGUCCCUGGACACUUCCUGACGCUGAGGCACGAAAGCUAGGGGAGCAAAC